UACGUAGGGGGCGAGCGUUGUCCGGAUUCAUUGGGCGUAAAGAGCUCGUAGGCGGUUCGGUAAGUCAGGUGUGAAAUCUCCACGCUCAACGUGGAGGGGCCGCCUGAUACUGCCGUGACUCGAGUCCGGUAGGGGAGUAUGGAAUUCCCGGUGUAGCGGUGAAAUGCGCAGAUAUCGGGAGGAACACCAGUGGCGAAGGCGGCUCACUGGCCCGGUACUGACGCUGAGACGCGAAAGCGUGGGGAGCAAACAGG
This 254-nucleotide ribosomal RNA is filed under the name uncultured bacterium. RNAcentral describes it as "partial 16S ribosomal RNA". It matches the Rfam family "Bacterial small subunit ribosomal RNA", at positions 524 to 776 of the family's 1533-position model. The record is from RNAcentral.